Molecule: transfer RNA, 80 nt
Filed under: Salmonella enterica subsp. enterica
Lineage: Bacteria; Pseudomonadati; Pseudomonadota; Gammaproteobacteria; Enterobacterales; Enterobacteriaceae
Description: tRNA-Lys
Rfam family: tRNA
About the family: Transfer RNA (tRNA) molecules are approximately 80 nucleotides in length. Their secondary structure includes four short double-helical elements and three loops (D, anti-codon, and T loops). Further hydrogen bonds mediate the characteristic L-shaped molecular structure. tRNAs have two regions of fundamental functional importance: the anti-codon, which is responsible for specific mRNA codon recognition, and the 3' end, to which the tRNAs corresponding amino acid is attached (by aminoacyl-tRNA synthetases). tRNAs cope with the degeneracy of the genetic code in two manners: having more than one tRNA (with a specific anti-codon) for a particular amino acid; and 'wobble' base-pairing, i.e. permitting non-standard base-pairing at the 3rd anti-codon position.
Source: RNAcentral
GGGUCGUUAGCUCAGUUGGUAGAGCAGUUGACUUUUUAAUCAAUUGAUUACUUGAGUUUCGAAUCCUGCACGACCCACCA